UAUCUCUGUAGAGUCUGCAUAUCAAUAAGCGGAGGAAAAGAAACUAACUAGGAUUCCCUCAGUAACGGCGAGUGAAGCGGGAAGAGCUCAAAUUUGAAAUCUUCAAGGUUCUACCUUGACGAAUUGUAGUUUAAAGAAGUGUUUUCUGUUGGUGUUUUGGUAAAAGUUCUUUGGAAUAGGACAUCAUAGAGGGUGAGAAUCCCGUAUUUGACCAUUACUUCCAGCGUUGUGAUACACUUUCAAAGAGUCGGAUUGUUUGGGAAUGCAGUCCAAAAUGGGUGGUAAAUUUCAUCUAAAGCUAAAUAUUGGCGAGAGACCGAUAGCGAACAAGUACCGUGAGGGAAAGAUGAAAAGAACUUUGAAAAGAGAGUUAAACAGUACGUGAAAUUGUCAAAAGGGAAGCGUUUGACACCAGUGUUGUUUUCUCGAAAAUCAAUUAAAAAAAGUUGGAUUUUGUAUUGUUAAGACCUUAUCAGCUUACUGUACUCUUUUCUUGCUUUUUUUAAUGCACUUUUCGUUUAACAAGUCAACAUCAAUUUCUUUUGUUGUAAAAGAGUCAUUGGAAGGUGGCUUUCACUUCGGUGAAAGUGUUUAUAGCCUUUGGCUUCUGCAAUCGGAGAGAUUGAGGUCUGCAGCGUAGAUCCUUCGGGGCUAGAUACGUAGAUGCUAAGUUAUAGUUUUUUAUAGACAACUUGUUGACUAUAAUUAAUCAUGUAGCUUACUCGUUUGCGCUAUUUUACCUACGCUUAGGAUGUUGACGAUCAGCUGAGCGCG
This 774-nucleotide ribosomal RNA is filed under the name uncultured Neocallimastigales. RNAcentral's name for it is "partial large subunit ribosomal RNA". It matches the Rfam family "Eukaryotic large subunit ribosomal RNA", at positions 24 to 634 of the family's 3401-position model. Lineage: Eukaryota; Fungi; Neocallimastigomycota; Neocallimastigomycetes; Neocallimastigales. The record is from RNAcentral.